GUUUGUUUUGUUUCUUACAUUCCACACAUGAGUGAAAUUGUAUGGUAUUUGUCUUUCUCUGACUGGAGCACAAGGUAAUGUAUGGAAGUGUCGAAUUACUCUAUUGUACGCCUGAAACUAAUAUAACACUGUAUGUUAACUAACUGGAAUUAAAAUUAAAAAAUUAAAAAAUAAACAAAAAUCAAGUUUUGAAAUGUCAUUUUUCCAGGCUCUGUGACUUAAAAUGAUGUAUCCAUCCAUUAGUUCGAUUGACAAAAAUUUAUUGAAGUUCUACUGAGUGGCAAGGAGGACUCCAAGGUAUCUUCCCCUCAAGGGACUCAAAAGGCUACUCAAAAGUUCAAGGGUGAAGAAACCACUGAUCCCUUUUGGCUACGUGAACUACAGUGUCCUAAAGAACUUCAGAGUCUGAAGAAAGGUCUGAUGGGGAAGAAUGUGGCUACAAGGGCAUUGUGCUCAAAGCAAGCAUCUCUCGGGGUCCUUCGAUGGGCACUGAGCAGUUUAGUGAUUUGAUUUUACUGACCAGGACCAAGCUACGCUAAAACACAUCCAGUAUUUUACGAGAAAAAAAAGAAGCCUGGUUUCCUAGUUCCAAAUGAAGCCUGCAGGCAUUUCAAAAUAAUACGUGUUACAGCUUCAAAGAGAAAAGAUAUUGAAUGGUGAAAUUUUGUAAAUAUCAAAGAGGCUUUCAGGCGGCUACUUUACAAUUUGAAACACACGUUUAACUUUAAAAGCAACAUUUUGUAACCUG
Molecule: long non-coding RNA, 748 nt
Filed under: Felis catus (domestic cat)
Lineage: Eukaryota; Metazoa; Chordata; Mammalia; Carnivora; Felidae
Description: lncRNA (ENSFCAG00000052901.1)
Source: RNAcentral